Molecule: long non-coding RNA, 1590 nt
Filed under: Homo sapiens (human)
Lineage: Eukaryota; Metazoa; Chordata; Mammalia; Primates; Hominidae
Description: HSALNT0026515
Source: RNAcentral
GAACCUGGCCUUCCUGCUAUCUGUUCUUUUUGAUGGGACAUAAUUGAGCCAGCUCUGGUUACAGAGACAGAGGCUUGGGAAAGUCAAUGGUCAGAAUGAAGGUGACCCUGCAGAAGAAUCCAUCAAAGAAUAGGGUUUCUUUGUGCAUGCAUGCUUUGCGUGGUGGGGGCUGGGUUCAGUUCCCAGGUUUGUGACUGAAUAUCAUUUUCGGCUUCAAUGCCUAGUGCUGACAUGAGUUUCUCCGGAUGGCUUUUCUAUAAAAAGAUCCUGGGCAGAGAAGUGCAAGAGGAAGCCCACAUUCUGGGGCCAGCUGGUCAGUGCAGGCAGCACCUUGGCCUUUGACCAGGACAGGGGCAGUGUUAUGUCCCCGCAGCCUUGCGGAAGGCCUUGGGUCUCCUCUGUGCUCCAACAUCAUCUCGGCCUGGACCCUACCUUUUCUUAACUGAGGUUAACUCAUUGCCAGGACAAACAGCCCAGCCAAUGAAUUUUGGCCUACAGAGAAAUCUCACUCUUGAAUAACCUUGGAUUGAGUUCUUUCAUUAGAAUCCUUCCAAAGUGCUAGCAAUUGAUUUGCCACAAAAGAAAGGUUUGAUUUUAACUGGCACAGGAAUGCAAGCUGAAAUCCUCACUGCACACAGGAGUGAUGUUGCCUACGGAGAACUCAGGUUUUAAAUCACUGUACUGCAAACUAACACCCCAUUUAACAAACGGAGCAGAAAAGCUACUCUGAGCCACAGAGUCGGUGGCCGCCUGUGCAUUCGCCUGAACUUUCAGGCAAACUGGAGAGUCCCGGCUUCUGUUAAAUAGACUUCAAAAAUAUCAACUCCCUAUGUAUCCACAAGCAGGGUUUCUUAUCAAAGUCAUCCACCACUCAAAGACUUAAUUUAUUUUUCCAACCCAGUAAAACAAUGGUUCUUUUAUACAGUAUCUGAAUAUUGUAAACCUAAUAAAGGCAAGUGAAAUCCUAUCAUCAAGUGUGCCAGAGAACACGGGCUUUAAGUAUUUGAGCAGAAACAAUCUCUGUUUCACAAUUAUCCCAGGACGGUGAGGAGAAAGGUGAAUUCAGUCAUGCACCUGGAAUGGAGUUGAGUAAUCCUAGCCUCUAGCACAGAAGGAGUAGCAUGGAGAAAAAGAGAAAGAUUUCUCAAUUGUUGCUGCACCAAGAUUCCUGACAAUAUUGGGAUACUGUUCACUCAACAGACAAUUUGGGAGCGUGGUCUCAGUUCUUGUCUGAGCCCUCACACAGGGAGGCUCAACACCAACUUUUUUAAACGUUGAAGCCAAUUUCUCAACAAUGCCCUGCGUUGUUUCUUUAUACAUGAAAUCACUCUCUUUGGUAUCAAUAGGCUGAACUUGAUAUAUGUUGUGUGAGAUUCUGAUGACACCUGUAUCCCUAUGAAUACCAGGUCUGCGGGAUAUGAUUUUAUAAAAGAUAAAUGAGGUAGGAAAUGAGUGCAGCCAAUGGCUGUACCAUCCUUGUGGACAACACCUUGAAAGUGAGGCAAGUUCAUGCAUCUGCAGUCUCAAGUUCGUUCACCUGCGGUCUCCACACCUGAUACUCUCUCCGUGGCUGGUUUGUGUCUGCCCCAC